GAAGUCUGCCAGACCGCCGCUGGUGCAAUCUGGGAAACCAGGCACUGGAGGAACGUCCGGACUGCAUAGGGCAGCGUAGCAGCUAAUGGCUGUCCACCGUGAGGUGAGGAUCAGAGCAACAGAGACGAGUCGGGGGCGUGCCACGCCACCAGGGGUGUUCUAUGGGUCGCCAGCGCAAGCUGGUGCCGAAUGGCGCAAGCCAGUCGGUUCACGGCGUAAGCCGGGAAAACCCAUAGCCGCCCGGUGCGCGGAACGCGCCCCCGGGUGAAACGGGCAAUCUCUACGCGCAGCAAUACCAAGUAGGCACACGUUGACGGGGCCCCCGGAGUGUGCGGGUAGGUAGCAUCGAGCCG
RNAcentral lists this RNase P RNA (353 nucleotides) under Burkholderiaceae bacterium. RNAcentral's name for it is "partial RNase P RNA component class A". It matches the Rfam family "Bacterial RNase P class A", at positions 1 to 287 of the family's 367-position model. Rfam says of the family: Ribonuclease P (RNase P) is a ubiquitous endoribonuclease, found in archaea, bacteria and eukarya as well as chloroplasts and mitochondria. Its best characterised activity is the generation of mature 5'-ends of tRNAs by cleaving the 5'-leader elements of precursor-tRNAs. The record is from RNAcentral. Lineage: Bacteria; Pseudomonadati; Pseudomonadota; Betaproteobacteria; Burkholderiales; Burkholderiaceae.